UGGGGAAUAUUGCACAAUGGGCGCAAGCCUGAUGCAGCCAUGCCGCGUGUGUGAAGAAGGCCUUCGGGUUGUAAAGCACUUUCAGCGGGGAGGAAGGCGUUAAGGUUAAUAACCUUGGCGAUUGACGUUACCCGCAGAAGAAGCACCGGCUAACUCCGUGCCAGCAGCCGCGGUAAUACGGAGGGUGCAAGCGUGAAUCGGAAUUACGGGGCGUAAAGCGCACGCAGGCGGUCUGUGAAGUCGGAUGUGAAAUCCCCGGGCUCAACCUGGGAACUGCAUUCGAAACUGGCAGGCUAGAGUCUUGUAGAGGGGGGUAGAAAUCCAGGUGUAGCGGUGAAAUGCGUAGAGAUCUGGAGGAAUACCGGUGGCGAAGGCGGCCCCCUGGACCAAGACUGACGCUCAGGUGCGCAAGCGUGGGGCGCAAACAGG
Molecule: ribosomal RNA, 429 nt
Filed under: Chloroflexota bacterium
Lineage: Bacteria; Bacillati; Chloroflexota
Description: Chloroflexi bacterium partial 16S ribosomal RNA
Rfam family: Bacterial small subunit ribosomal RNA
Source: RNAcentral